GGGAAAGUAGCAUAAUUGGUUAAUGCGUCUCGCGCAAUAUCUUUCAAGGGAUGGUUGAGCAGCAAGAAGUACUCGAUUCGAUUCUGGGCUUUCCCA
Molecule: non-coding RNA, 96 nt
Organism: Pluteus cervinus
Lineage: Eukaryota; Fungi; Basidiomycota; Agaricomycetes; Agaricales; Pluteaceae
Source: the annotation of a GenBank genome assembly